AUGGGAAAAUUUCGUGCUGCGAUCGACGCGGCAGGACUCAAGGAGAUUAAGUGUAAGAACAGAAGAUUUACGUGGAGCAACGAGCACGCGUCGCCAACCUUAGUUAGCAUAGAUAAAUUUUUCUGCACCACGGCCUGGGCAUCCAUGUUUCCCUCCUACCUCCUUCAUGCUGCUUCUACCUCGUGCUCCGACCACUGCCCGUUGGUGCUGACGGAGGCGGCGGCGCCUCGCCGCGCGGCUCGCUUCCGUUUCGAGUCGUUCUGGCCGAGAUUCCCUCGCUUCCACAUCACGGUGCAGAGGGCGUGGGAUCGCCAUGUGGCCUCAAACUGUGCCUUCAAGAGGCUCAGCACAAAGCUAGUUCGAGUGGCCCGAGACCUGAAGAUUUGGGCCAAGGGCUUCUUCAGCGAGUCAAAGCUCCAAAUGCACAUCGCAAACGAAAUCGUGCUCCGCCUCGACAUGGCUCAAGAGAGUAGACAACUAACAGUAGAUGAGCUCGAGUUGCGGAAAUAG
Molecule: ribosomal RNA, 510 nt
Filed under: Triticum aestivum (bread wheat)
Lineage: Eukaryota; Viridiplantae; Streptophyta; Magnoliopsida; Poales; Poaceae
Description: partial small subunit ribosomal RNA
Source: RNAcentral